RNAcentral lists this ribosomal RNA (769 nucleotides) under Salmonella enterica subsp. enterica serovar Heidelberg. RNAcentral's name for it is "partial 23S ribosomal RNA". It matches the Rfam family "Bacterial large subunit ribosomal RNA", at positions 2174 to 2925 of the family's 2925-position model. RNAcentral also lists the same sequence under 1 other name. Lineage: Bacteria; Pseudomonadati; Pseudomonadota; Gammaproteobacteria; Enterobacterales; Enterobacteriaceae. The record is from RNAcentral.
GUCUGCAUGGAGCCGACCUUGAAAUACCACCCUUUAAUGUUUGAUGUUCUAACGUGGACCCGUUACCCGGGUUGCGGACAGUGUCUGGUGGGUAGUUUGACUGGGGCGGUCUCCUCCUAAAGAGUAACGGAGGAGCACGAAGGUUGGCUAAUCCUGGUCGGACAUCAGGAGGUUAGUGCAAUGGCAUAAGCCAGCUUGACUGCGAGCGUGACGGCGCGAGCAGGUGCGAAAGCAGGUCAUAGUGAUCCGGUGGUUCUGAAUGGAAGGGCCAUCGCUCAACGGAUAAAAGGUACUCCGGGGAUAACAGGCUGAUACCGCCCAAGAGUUCAUAUCGACGGCGGUGUUUGGCACCUCGAUGUCGGCUCAUCACAUCCUGGGGCUGAAGUAGGUCCCAAGGGUAUGGCUGUUCGCCAUUUAAAGUGGUACGCGAGCUGGGUUUAGAACGUCGUGAGACAGUUCGGUCCCUAUCUGCCGUGGGCGCUGGAGAACUGAGGGGGGCUGCUCCUAGUACGAGAGGACCGGAGUGGACGCAUCACUGGUGUUCGGGUUGUCAUGCCAAUGGCACUGCCCGGUAGCUAAAUGCGGAAGAGAUAAGUGCUGAAAGCAUCUAAGCACGAAACUUGCCCCGAGAUGAGUUCUCCCUGAGACUUAGAGUCUCCUGAAGGAACGUUGAAGACGACGACGUUGAUAGGCCGGGUGUGUAAGCGCAGCGAUGCGUUGAGCUAACCGGUACUAAUGAACCGUGAGGCUUAACCUUACAACGCCGAAG